Molecule: transfer RNA, 91 nt
Filed under: Magnetospirillum sp. SS-4
Lineage: Bacteria; Pseudomonadati; Pseudomonadota; Alphaproteobacteria; Rhodospirillales; Rhodospirillaceae
Description: tRNA-Ser
Rfam family: tRNA
About the family: Transfer RNA (tRNA) molecules are approximately 80 nucleotides in length.
Source: RNAcentral
GGUGGGUUGGCCGAGCGGUUUAAGGCAGUCGUCUUGAAAACGACCGAGGGCUAGAAACCCUCCGUGAGUUCGAAUCUCACACCCACCGCCA